GAUGAACGCUGGCGGCGUGCCUAAUACAUGCAAGUCGAGCGAACGGACGAGAAGCUUGCUUUUCUGAUGUUAGCGGCGGACGGGUGAGUAACACGUGGAUAACCUACCUAUAAGACUGGGAUAACUUCGGGAAACCGGAGCUAAUACCGGAUAAUAUUUUGAACCGCAUGGUUCAAAAGUGAAAGACGGUCUUGCUGUCACUUAUAGAUGGAUCCGCGCUGCAUUAGCUAGUUGGUAAGGUAACGGCUUACCAAGGCAACGAUGCAUAGCCGACCUGAGAGGGUGAUCGGCCACACUGGAACUGAGACACGGUCCAGACUCCUACGGGAGGCAGCAGUAGGGAAUCUUCCGCAAUGGGCGAAAGCCUGACGGAGCAACGCCGCGUGAGUGAUGAAGGGCUUCGGAUCGUAAAACUCUGUUAUUAGGGAAGAACAUAUGUGUAAGUAACUGUGCACAUCUUGACGGUACCUAAUCAGAAAGCCACGGCUAACUACGUG
This 497-nucleotide ribosomal RNA is filed under the name uncultured bacterium. RNAcentral's name for it is "partial 16S ribosomal RNA". It matches the Rfam family "Bacterial small subunit ribosomal RNA", at positions 28 to 507 of the family's 1533-position model. The record is from RNAcentral.